UACGGAGGGGGCGAGCGUUAUUCGGAAUUAUUGGGCGUAAAGGGCGCGUAGGCGGUCCGACAAGUCAAAGGUGAAAUCCCUCGGCUCAACUGAGGAACUGCCUUUUGAAACUGUUCGGACUUGAGUCCGGGAGAGGGUAGUGGAAUUCCCAAUGUAGCGGUGAAAUGCGUAGAUAUUGGGGAGGAACACCAGUGGCGAAGGCGCUACCUGGACCGGAACUGACGCUGAUGCGCGAAAGCGUGGGUAGCAAACAGG
This 255-nucleotide ribosomal RNA is filed under the name uncultured bacterium. RNAcentral describes it as "partial 16S ribosomal RNA". It matches the Rfam family "Bacterial small subunit ribosomal RNA", at positions 524 to 776 of the family's 1533-position model. The record is from RNAcentral.